UUAAGCGACUAAGCGUACACGGUGGAUGCCCUGGCAGUCAGAGGCGAUGAAGGACGUGCUAAUCUGCGAAAAGCGUCGGUAAGGUGAUAUGAACCGUUACAGCCGGCGAUGUCCGAAUGGGGAAACCCAGUGCAAUUCGUUGCACUAUCGUUAACUGAAUACAUAGGUUAACGAGGCGAACCGGGGGAACUGAAACAUCUAAGUACCCCGAGGAAAAGAAAUCAACCGAGAUUCCCCCAGUAGCGGCGAGCGAACGGGGAGCAGCCCAGAGUCUGAAUCAGCUUGUGUGUUAGUGGAACGGUCUGGAAAGUCCGACGGUACAGGGUGAUAGUCCCGUACACCAAAAUGCACAGGUUGUGAACUCGAAGAGUAGGGCGGGACACGUGGUAUCCUGUCUGAAUAUGGGGGGACCAUCCUCCAAGGCUAAAUACUCCUGACUGACCGAUAGUGAACCAGUACCGUGAGGGAAAGGCGAAAAGAACCCCGGCGAGGGGAGUGAAAAAGAACCUGAAACCGUGUACGUACAAGCAGUGGGAGCACCUUCGGGUGUGACUGCGUACCUUUUGUAUAAUGGGUCAGCGACUUAUAUUCUGUAGCAAGGUUAACCGUAUAGGGGAGCCGCAGGGAAACCGAGUCUUAACUGGGCGUUAAGUUGCAGGGUAUAGACCCGAAACCCGGUGAUCUAGCCAUGGGCAGGUUGAAGGUUGGGUAACACUAACUGGAGGACCGAACCGACUAAUGUUGAAAAAUUAGCGGAUGACUUGUGGCUGGGGGUGAAAGGCCAAUCAAACCGGGAGAUAGCUGGUUCUCCCCGAAAGCUAUUUAGGUAGCGCCUCGUGAACUCAUCUUCGGGGGUAGAGCACUGUUUCGGCUAGGGGGUCAUCCCGACUUACCAACCCGAUGCAAACUACGAAUACCGAAGAAUGUUAUCACGGGAGACACACGGCGGGUGCUAACGUCCGUCGUGAAGAGGGAAACAACCCAGACCGCCAGCUAAGGUCCCAAAGUCACAGUUAAGUGGGAAACGAUGUGGGAAGGCACAGACAGCCAGGAUGUUGGCUUAGAAGCAGCCAUCAUUUAAAGAAAGCGUAAUAGCUCACUGGUCGAGUCGGCCUGCGCGGAAGAUGUAACGGGGCUAAACUGUGCACCGAAGCUGCGGCAGCGACACUAUGUGUUGUUGGGUAGGGGAGCGUUCUGUAAGCCUGCGAAGGUGGCCUGUGAGGGUUGCUGGAGGUAUCAGAAGUGCGAAUGCUGACAUAAGUAACGAUAAUGCGGGUGAAAAGCCCGCACGCCGGAAGACCAAGGGUUCCUGUCCAACGUUAAUCGGGGCAGGGUGAGUCGACCCCUAAGGCGAGGCCGAAAGGCGUAGUCGAUGGGAAACAGGUUAAUAUUCCUGUACUUGGUGUUACUGCGAAGGGGGGACGGAGAAGGCUAUGUUAGCCGGGCGACGGUUGUCCCGGUUUAAGCAUGUAGGCGGAGGUUCCAGGUAAAUCCGGUACCUUUUAACGCUGAGGUGUGAUGACGAGGCACUACGGUGCUGAAGUAACAAAUGCCCUGCUUCCAGGAAAAGCCUCUAAGCAUCAGGUAACAUUAAAUCGUACCCCAAACCGACACAGGUGGUCAGGUAGAGAAUACCAAGGCGCUUGAGAGAACUCGGGUGAAGGAACUAGGCAAAAUGGUGCCGUAACUUCGGGAGAAGGCACGCUGAUAUGUAGGUGAAGCCCCUGCGGGUGGAGCUGAAAUCAGUCGAAGAUACCAGCUGGCUGCAACUGUUUAUUAAAAACACAGCACUGUGCAAACACGAAAGUGGACGUAUACGGUGUGACGCCUGCCCGGUGCCGGAAGGUUAAUUGAUGGGGUUAUCCGUAAGGAGAAGCUCUUGAUCGAAGCCCCGGUAAACGGCGGCCGUAACUAUAACGGUCCUAAGGUAGCGAAAUUCCUUGUCGGGUAAGUUCCGACCUGCACGAAUGGCGUAAUGAUGGCCAGGCUGUCUCCACCCGAGACUCAGUGAAAUUGAACUCGCUGUGAAGAUGCAGUGUACCCGCGGCAAGACGGAAAGACCCCGUGAACCUUUACUAUAGCUUGACACUGAACAUUGAGCCUUGAUGUGUAGGAUAGGUGGGAGGCUUUGAAGCGUGGACGCCAGUCUGCGUGGAGCCAACCUUGAAAUACCACCCUUUAAUGUUUGAUGUUCUAACGUUGGCCCCUUAUCGGGGUUGCGGACAGUGUCUGGUGGGUAGUUUGACUGGGGCGGUCUCCUCCCAAAGAGUAACGGAGGAGCACGAAGGUUAGCUAAUCCUGGUCGGACAUCAGGAGGUUAGUGCAAUGGCAUAAGCUAGCUUGACUGCGAGCGUGACGGCGCGAGCAGGUGCGAAAGCAGGUCAUAGUGAUCCGGUGGUUCUGAAUGGAAGGGCCAUCGCUCAACGGAUAAAAGGUACUCCGGGGAUAACAGGCUGAUACCGCCCAAGAGUUCAUAUCGACGGCGGUGUUUGGCACCUCGAUGUCGGCUCAUCACAUCCUGGGGCUGAAGUAGGUCCCAAGGGUAUGGCUGUUCGCCAUUUAAAGUGGUACGCGAGCUGGGUUUAGAACGUCGUGAGACAGUUCGGUCCCUAUCUGCCGUGGGCGCUGGAGAAUUGAGGGGGGCUGCUCCUAGUACGAGAGGACCGGAGUGGACGCAUCACUGGUGUUCGGGUUGUCAUGCCAAUGGCAUUGCCCGGUAGCUAAAUGCGGAAGAGAUAAGUGCUGAAAGCAUCUAAGCACGAAACUUGCCCCGAGAUGAGUUCUCCCUGACUCCUUGAGAGUCCUGAAGGAACGUUAAAGACGAUGACGUUGAUAGGUCGGGUGUGUAAGCGUAGCGAUACGUUGAGCUAACCGAUACUAAUGAACCGUGAGGCUUAACCUU
RNAcentral lists this ribosomal RNA (2902 nucleotides) under Klebsiella aerogenes MGH 61. RNAcentral describes it as "bacterial LSU rRNA". It matches the Rfam family "Bacterial large subunit ribosomal RNA". Lineage: Bacteria; Pseudomonadati; Pseudomonadota; Gammaproteobacteria; Enterobacterales; Enterobacteriaceae. The record is from RNAcentral.